Molecule: ribosomal RNA, 512 nt
Filed under: Moina macrocopa
Lineage: Eukaryota; Metazoa; Arthropoda; Branchiopoda; Diplostraca; Moinidae
Description: partial 16S ribosomal RNA
Rfam family: Bacterial large subunit ribosomal RNA
Source: RNAcentral
GUUUAUCAAAAACAUCGCCUCUUGAACAAUAUUGGAGGUACUGCCUGCUCAAUGCUCUUGUAAAUAGCCGCAGUAUUUUGACUGUGCUAAGGUAGCAUAAUCAUUAGUCUUUUAAUUGAAGGCUGGUAUGAAUGGCAAGACGAGAAAAAAGCUGUCUCUAUCAAAAAUCUUGAAUUUCAUUUUUUAGUGCAAAAGCUAAAAUAAUUUUAAAGGACGAUCAGACCCUAUGGAGUUUUAGUUUUUAUUAGUAGUGUAUUAUUUUUUGAUAUUUGCUAUUAAUAAAGACUUUUGUUGGGGCGACAAGAAGUUAAAUGUAACUCUUCUUAAAUUAAACUAAUUUAAAAGGAUACUUGAUCCCUAAAGGGGGAUUAAAAGACUAAGUUACCCUAGGGAUAACAGCAUAAUCUUUUUGGAGAGUUCUUAUCGAUAAAAAGGUUUGUGACCUCGAUGUUGGAUUAAGAGUUUAGUGGGGGGCAGUAAUUCCACUGUAAAGUCUGUUCGACUUUUAAUAU